GAUGAACGCUGGCGGCGUGCUUAACACAUGCAAGUCGAACGGAAAGGCCCAAGCUUGCUUGGGUACUCGAGUGGCGAACGGGUGAGUAACACGUGGGUGAUCUGCCCUGCACUUCGGGAUAAGCCUGGGAAACUGGGUCUAAUACCGGAUAGGACCACAUUUUGGAUGGUGUGGUGGAAAGUUUUUCGGUGUGGGAUGAGCUCGCGGCCUAUCAGCUUGUUGGUGGGGUAAUGGCCUACCAAGGCGUCGACGGGUAGCCGGCCUGAGAGGGUGUACGGCCACAUUGGGACUGAGAUACGGCCCAGACUCCUACGGGAGGCAGCAGGGGGGAAUAUUGCACAAUGGGCGCAAGCCUGAUGCAGCGACGCCGCGGGGGGGAUGACGGCCUUCGGGUUGUAAACUCCUUUCGCUAGGGACGAAGCGUUAUGUGACGGUACCUGGAGAAGAAGCACCGGCUAACUACGUG
RNAcentral lists this ribosomal RNA (466 nucleotides) under uncultured bacterium. RNAcentral's name for it is "partial 16S ribosomal RNA". It matches the Rfam family "Bacterial small subunit ribosomal RNA", at positions 28 to 507 of the family's 1533-position model. The record is from RNAcentral.